Gadus macrocephalus (Pacific cod) is the source of this 5187-nucleotide long non-coding RNA. RefSeq lists it as uncharacterized. The transcript has 2 exons. NCBI's taxonomy places the organism in Eukaryota, Metazoa, Chordata, Actinopteri, Gadiformes, Gadidae. The record is from RefSeq and is a predicted model, not a curated record.
CCCCCCCCCCCCCCCCACCCUUGGCCUUCUGGCGCUAAAAAUACUCAGCAGUACAAAGGGGACAAUGCUUUUUCAUCACAUAUUCAUCCAUUAUUUACAAUAGAGUAAUUUAUCACACACUAUUAUCCAAAGCAACUAUUGAAUUAAGUAGGGGUCAUUCAGGAGCAAUGGUGGAGGCAUCUUGCUCAAGGAUGCCUACAGCUAGACUGGGGACAUUGGGGUUCAAUUAGCAUUGCGCUUGCGCGGGUGUGUGUGCAUGUGUGCGUGUGUAAGCACCCACUUACACAUGUGCGUGCGCGUUGCUUUCAUGGCCGACCGAAUCAGAGAGGUUGUCACCUUGUGGGUGUCGUAUUACUCCUAUGAAGAAGAAAAGAAAGAACCCAAAUCUUUGUUCGUUGGCCUCGGUGCACGCCUUGCCUUUCCCCAUCCGGCUGACGCAGCCCAGGAACGGCCGGUGAAUUAUUAACGCCCCUCGGCUGGUGCACUCCCAGCAGGCUGCUGGAGCCUCCGACCUUCAGCCUUAAUGGAGGUGAUGGUGGAGGUGGAGGCUGAGGGGUCUCUGAGAGGCGGUCCACCAGGGGUUAAAGGGCGGAGAGGGGAGGGGGACAUUAGCACGCUGUGAAGGAGGCCUAAUGGAGGAGUCUAUAGCGCUACUCCACGGCGGGUUAGUGGAGUCUUAACGGGUAGGGAGACCUCAUUGUUUUCUUCUGGUCUCUGGUAGUGGGGUUAGUGGAUAGUGGUUAUGGAGUCUUAACGGGGAGGGGAACCUCAUUAUUUUUUCUUCUGGUCUCUGGUAGUGGGGUUAGUGGAUAGUGGUUAUGGAGUCUUAAAGGGGAGGGGAACCUCAUUAUUUUUUCUUCUGGUCUCUGGUGCUUUGAGACGGUCGGCUCCAAAGCAAUCACCGGAGAGGGGAUGGACGCUUAUCCAGUUCAGGGACGUCGUCAGCUGUUUAUACAAAGAUGAGAUAGGGUUAGAGAUGGGGUAAAAGAGAUGGGAUGAGAUAUCGGACCCCCUGCGAUGCACUGCCGUCGAUUUGAUGACAGAGAGAGAGAGAGAGAGAGAGAGAGAGACUCCCUGUCCAGAGGUAACGCGGGGAGCGAGGUCAUGAAGGAGGAGCGAGGUCAUGAAGGAGGAGCGAGGUCAUGAAGGAGGAGCGAGGUGAAGGAGGAGCGAGGAGCGUUUCGAGGGCAGAAAAUACCUCUUAAGGCUGCGAGUGGCUGCAUGAUGAUGUGUCUGUGUAGGAAUCAAUGGGAAACGUUGUGAACCGCGUGGACCGAUCAAUGUUGCCAUGAUCACAGCAUAGCAGAGGGCUGCUAUCACGGAAGGAGCUGAGCUGUAAUUGUUUUAAUACAAUCCAAAUCCUAAUCCCAUCCAUUUGUUUUAAUACACUCAGGUCAUAUUUGGAUUGGGAUGAAUGGUCUCUCGACCAAUAGAUAUGAUGUGAUUGCAAUGUCGAACGGGAUGGCUUUUCUGGGUAUUUUUCUUGUUUGGUUACCCUCAUCAUGUCUUUUGAUCUUUGUUGGGCAGAAGCGCGAUGUCCUAAAUGAUAUGUGUGUGCUCUGAUGUACUCCCUGUUCAGAUAGUGAGGCCAAUGAAGGAUAGCUCUGCGUAACAUAACAUGUUAGGCUGUGACAAGCAGGUUAACUACCGCCAGGAGCCAGCUAACUCCACUGGGCUUUAGAACCUGGCGUUGUGUUUCUUGUGUUGAAGUAUUCUUUACUCUCCCUCUCCCUUACCUUAUUUUACUCUCUUGUGCUGAUGUUGUGUGCAAGCACAUUUGGACAGGUAAGCCCACUGGGGUUGGAGUGAGUGGGAGAACAGAUCAGGCACUGUCAGACGGCGAGAAAAGCAACGAGGGUUGUUGAUGUUCCCCAUUUUCUUUUGAGACUGAAAAACACUGUCAACGUCUCAAUGUCUCAGAGUAGCUUAGCAACACGGAGCCAUCCAUCAAAUGACAUUAUGAAUGACUAAUAUUUCAUUAUUAGAUCAAACCAAAGUGGCAGUUUGUGGCAUUAAACAAACACGCUUAGGUAGUUGAAAAGAACAAAACAACUCAUUGUAAUUUGUCAUUUAGGAGCAUUUGAAAUCUGUGAAUGCCUUCAAUGCGCGCCUUUCAAUGUCUGCGUUCCCUAACGUCAGAUGUAUAUGCAACAUCAUCUUAACCAAUAAAAAGGACACAUCACAGCCUGCAUGGCCUCUUCUCAUCUGGAAAAUCGCCUAUCCAUCGUCCUUAUCAGGGGCUGUGACAUGGGCAAAUAAAACACUCUUUUACCCCAUACCUCCCUGGCUCAUUCCCGCCUCUGUCAGGUGCCCUCAUCGUCAGCGGCAACAGAACCCAACAGUUUGUAUACAGCCCCCUGCGUCAACCUAUCUGCAACGAGCACUUAGAGCUUAAGGUAGCGUUGCAUCGACACUCAUGGUGGGUGUUGAUAUCAGUCCUGACUGCCAUGCCAGACUUUAACACAGAGUAACGGCACCGGAGACCAUGCUGAUGCAGUUUAUCAGCAACACAGGCUUUAUCAUGUCGGAUAUUGUUUUGGAAGGGAUUAUGAUGAUACUGCGAUCCAUUUAUUCUGAUGAGUCUUGGCUUAAGUAGAUCAAGUUCAUGCCGUUGAUGGAUAAAUAGAUCAAGAAUAUAGUGUCUGGUAAAUGUUAUGGGCUUGUGUUGGCCGAUAUGAUGCUCCCAGCUGUCUGCCAUGUGGUGCCUCGAUGAUACUUUGUCUGAGCAGUGCUGACGGCUGCUUCUUUGAAAUAAAACAUGUGAUUUGGGAAAGAGGACAUCCUUUCAAUACCCCCCUCCCCACUCUUUACCCUCAAUACACCAAGAGAGUGGGGAAGAGAGAGAGAGAGAGCAGAAGAUGGAGUUUCUCAGCCAUUGAAAAGUGUUCCAUUUCACACACCUGUGAUUGACAGGCAAGAUGGUUUCCCCCAACCAAUCAGGGAACAGAGGCUCUGAUUGGUCAGAGGGACACCGGGAGCGGUCCAACAAUCGAAAUGGCUCUCGUAAACAGGCAGUGAAAACAAAACAGAUAUGCUCACCGGAGCGGUUCACUGAAUUACAGCUGAUGGAUCGCGGUGGCAUUUCUCCCAGAUUACACUCGAUAAUAAUAGCUGUUGAAUAUGACCUACGGCCUUUAUGCUGUGCACGGUGUUUGACAAACUCAACACACAUCCCUCUGUGUCCACGAUGGCACUCGAUCCUUGUCGGCGGGCAGGUUUUAUGUCAGUAUUAUAUAAAGGAUGAAACCUCCUUUGACUAUAAGUCGUUGACAGCAGAUGAAAAGGAAGAGGAAGACCUUAUGAUAAAAGAUAGUUUGGACUCCCCCCCUCGCCCCAGAGAAGCAGACAUCAAACGGGCCCGGGGGUUUUGCUUCCGAUUCUACAGGGAUUUAAUCUGCCCACCAAAAGCAUUACUAUGUCACUCUGGGAAUUACUUCAUUUUAUACGAUGAACUUGCAUUCCUGGGAGAAGAAAAAGCCCUUCUUCCUCCUCCGUCUUUUUUAAAUUAGUCUCCUUCCAAAGGUACGGCUUCCCUCUCCUUUGAAAACGGCAGGGAGUUAAAGUUGACUUCUCCCACUCUUUUACAAUUUUUAUUUCACCGUGGUUGGGGAUUGGCGGUUGGCCCCUGUCGGGGGGGCCCUAGAAGCCUCUCCUGUCAUCUCAAGCAGCUCCGUCGACCUGUGUGACCACUAAGCACACUCUGCUCUCCGGAAUCCUGUUAACCCCCUGGGCUGAUCUCUGUCCGCCAAAACCAUCCGAUCGGAAACGCAUGGUUUUGGCUCUUUGGGAAAUGUGUCCUGGCCAGCCGGUGGCUGAGGGGCCGGGGCCCGGUGUAAACAUGAGGCGCUGCCUCGCUAAGGAAAUCGUAAUUGGUCUAUUGACAAAAGACUUCACAUUGAGCCUCAGGAUUGGACUGGCUGGCUCUGAGCGCAGGAGAGCAAUCUCCCGGAGAAUGCUGACUAAUCCCAUUACAUCUAAACACGUGUUUGUGGCAAAACAGGCUAAAGAUGUCCUUGGUUCUCCUUUUUUGCAAGAGUUUAAAUGGUUGGGUUUGAAGGAAGACACUGUGUUGUGUUUUUUUUUGUGUCUUUGUGUAAGAAAGGAGAAAUAAAAGCCAUAGCCUUCUGUUCAGUUCUUAUUUUAGCACUGCCUAGUGUUGCUGUUUUUUGUCCAAGCUCCUAUCUUCUUUAUUUUAAUGUUAUUUUCUGAAUCUAGGUCUUUAUAGUUGUUUGUUUUCUUUAAUUCACUGCCUAUUGCAGUUUAUGGUAGGUCAACCAGGUUUAAUUAAUUGCUUCCAACGGUUUGGCCUGGGCCGGAAAACGGAAAGAUCGAGGGACGGAGUAACGCAGUGUUUCCUGUUUGUUAAAGAUUUAUUCUUCCAGAGAGAAAAACUCAUUUGAGCGUGUCGAAAGGGGAGGGACGAUGAAACGAUGAUUUUUGUGCUUCCACAGUGGCCAGUGGCUUACAACACAGGUUGAAUUUUAAACCUUUACAGAAACUUGAUCUAAGGAUGUUGGUGUCCGGAAAGGACGUUUUCAGCUUGUCUUCCCAACGGUUAAACCACACCAUGUUUCUGGAGAUUCCUCUACCAAUGGGUGACAUGUGUUGUGUUUGUGGAUCUGACACUCAAACUGCCUCUGCGAAGUUGCUCCUAAAUGCCUGUUAACUGUAGAUCGUUUCUUUCCCUUUUCUGGUGAGUACGGUUAAUUCAAUAAAUAAAAUGGCUUACUCGCAGUGUGUGUGCCCAGAUGGUCCGCUGGGAAGUGAAAAGGCUGCAUCAUCAUAAGCAUUCAUGCAAGAUGAUUUUAUGGAUUUUGAUGGAUUUCUCUUCUGGAGAAAUAUUUUUUCAAGUGGGUCUAGAGGGAUUCUGUCGUCGCUGUGUGCGUCCCCUUAUGAGCUAUUAGACACACAACGUUGUUUCCAUGGAAAUGUCCAAUGCAGCUGUACAGUGUACCUUGUAUACACAAGCCGGCUGACACGAAAACAAACGAUCAGGUACAGAUCUGUACGAACACAGACACACUCCUCUUCUAACUUCUUAUCUUUUAUUUAAACGUGUGUGUGUGUGUGUGUGUGUGUGUGUGUGUGUGUGUGUGUGUGUGUGUGUGUGUGUGUGUGUGUGUGUGUGUGUGUGUGUGUGUGUGUGUGUGUGUGUGUGUGUGUGUGUGUGUGUGUGUGUGUGUGUGU